RNAcentral lists this microRNA precursor (74 nucleotides) under Capra hircus (goat). Its description in RNAcentral is "miRNA (ENSCHIG00010001937.1)". The stretch from base 1 to 63 matches the Rfam family "mir-143 microRNA precursor family", at positions 22 to 84 of the family's 84-position model. The record is from RNAcentral. Lineage: Eukaryota; Metazoa; Chordata; Mammalia; Artiodactyla; Bovidae.
GUGCUGCAUCUCUGGUCAGUUGGGAGUCUGAGAUGAAGCACUGUAGCUCGGGAAGGGAGAAGUUGUUCUACAGC